RNAcentral lists this unclassified non-coding RNA (171 nucleotides) under uncultured Cochliobolus. RNAcentral's name for it is "sequence contains ITS1". Lineage: Eukaryota; Fungi; Ascomycota; Dothideomycetes; Pleosporales; Pleosporaceae. The record is from RNAcentral.
CACAAUAAAAUAUGAAGGCCUGGCUUCGCGGUCGGCUGAAAUAUUUUUUUUCACCCAUGUCUUUUGCGCACUUGUUGUUUCCUGGGCGGGUUCGCCCGCCACCAGGACCAAACCAUAAACCUUUUUUUUAUGCAGUUGCCAUCAGCGUCAGUAAAAACAAUGUAAUUAUUA